Molecule: ribosomal RNA, 467 nt
Filed under: uncultured bacterium
Lineage: Bacteria
Description: partial 16S ribosomal RNA
Rfam family: Bacterial small subunit ribosomal RNA
Source: RNAcentral
ACGAACGCUGGCGGCGUGCUUAACCCCUGCAAGUCGAACGGAAAGGCCCUGCUUUUGUGGGGUGCUCGAGUGGCGAACGGGUGAGUAACACGUGAGUAACCUGCCCUUGACUUUGGGAUAACUUCAGGAAACUGGGGCUAAUACCGGAUAGGAGCUCCUGCUGCAUGGUGGGGGUUGGAAAGUUUCGGCGGUUGGGGAUGGACUCGCGGCUUAUCAGCUUGUUGGUGGGGUAGUGGCUUACCAAGGCUUUGACGGGUAGCCGGCCUGAGAGGGUGACCGGCCACAUUGGGACUGAGAUACGGCCCAGACUCCUACGGGAGGCAGCAGUGGGGAAUAUUGCACAAUGGGCGGAAGCCUGAUGCAGCAACGCCGCGUGCGGGAUGACGGCCUUCGGGUUGUAAACCGCUUUCGCCUGUGACGAAGCGUGAGUGACGGUAAUGGGUAAAGAAGCACAGGCUAACUACGUG